This is a long non-coding RNA of Macadamia integrifolia, 383 nucleotides long. RefSeq lists it as uncharacterized. The transcript has 2 exons. The record is from RefSeq and is a predicted model, not a curated record. NCBI's taxonomy places the organism in Eukaryota, Viridiplantae, Streptophyta, Magnoliopsida, Proteales, Proteaceae.
UGGGGCUUGAAGCAUAAGGGCUAUCUCCCCUCCUUGUUUCUUGAUUAAAGCCGGUUUGAAGAUGAUGAUACAGGUACCGUUGUACCUAUAGCGUGUGACCCGUUACCUUUCGAGCUAGAGUAUGGACUGAGUGAUAGGUGGAUGCCAGAAGUGGAGGAGCAAGACCAUGACUGUGCUUGUGACCACUAUGCUUAUGCCGCACUCUAAGGACCAUGGUGCACUUUUGGUGAUUUUUGAUAUUGAAUGAUACUAUUGGUAUUCUUUUGGGCUUAUGUAUGUAUAAGCCAUGAUUAUUUGUAAAUGGAUAAAGUUGGUUAUGGAUAUGUACAUUAUCAUUAGAUGUUCCCCAUUUUACUUAUGAUUUCGUUAUUAUACUUUGAUUC